GGCACGGCCAUUCGCACUAGGAACUCCAGUCUGAAGUGCUUGGGGGCAAGAACUCUGCACAUGGCAUCCUGUGAGCAAGUGAAACUAGAUGAAGCACAAAGGAAAAGAAAAGGUAAAAAAAAAAAAAGCCUGCAUGAGAUGGCAAGAUGAUGACAGAAAUUUCGCAUAUAGAAGAAAGGAAAGAUUUCCCCAGCAUUUCCAUAAAACUCUUAGAUUUCAUCUCAUGGACCAGCUCCGGUGGCAUGCCCACUUUCAGCCUCGUGUGUCCAGUGGUCACUGCCUGAGUCCUGUGUUAUAAAUUCUGCCCACGGUGAGACUGAGGGAGAAAUGGAUCCCUCAAUGAAAAGUCAAGGGAGUGGAAGGAAGAACCAGAACCGAGGGUGCCUUGGAUGUACAUGAGAGAGCACACUGGUGUAGAGAGCAGCGGGCCACAUACGGCACUGCAAGUGCUCCAGCAGCCACUCCAAACAAAGUAAGAAGAAACAGUGAAAUUAAUAUUAGAUGUCUUAAUAUAUGAUAACAUGUUCUUUAACCCAGAGAAACAGGAUGAAACCAAUUUUAAUUAUUUUAAUAGCGUAG
This is a non-coding RNA of Vicugna pacos (alpaca), 579 nucleotides long. The record is from RefSeq and is a predicted model, not a curated record. NCBI's taxonomy places the organism in Eukaryota, Metazoa, Chordata, Mammalia, Artiodactyla, Camelidae.